RNAcentral lists this ribosomal RNA (566 nucleotides) under Phialocephala fortinii. RNAcentral's name for it is "eukaryotic LSU rRNA". The stretch from base 205 to 358 matches the Rfam family "5.8S ribosomal RNA". Lineage: Eukaryota; Fungi; Ascomycota; Leotiomycetes; Helotiales; Mollisiaceae. The record is from RNAcentral.
UCCGUAGGUGAACCUGCGGAAGGAUCAUUACAAGUGAGGCUACCGAACGUUGGAAACAGCGGUUAGGAGCUUACACCCACCCGUGUUUACAUACUCUUGUUGCUUUGGCGGGCCGUGGCCUCCACUGCGGGCUCUGCUCGUGUGUGCCCGCCAGAGAACCAAACUCUGAAUGUUAGUGAUGUCUGAGUACUAUCUAAUAGUUAAAACUUUCAACAACGGAUCUCUUGGUUCUGGCAUCGAUGAAGAACGCAGCGAAAUGCGAUAAGUAAUGUGAAUUGCAGAAUUCAGUGAAUCAUCGAAUCUUUGAACGCACAUUGCGCCCUGUGGUAUUCCGCAGGGCAUGCCUGUUCGAGCGUCAUUUAACCACUCGCGCCUGGCGUGGUAUUGGGGCACGCGGUCUCCGCGGCCCUCAAAAUUAGUGGCGGCGCCGGUGGGCUCUAAGCGUAGUACAUAACUCCCGCUAUAGAGUUCCCCCGGUGGCUCGCCAGAACCCCCAAUUUUUUACAGGUUGACCUCGGAUCAGGUAGGGAUACCCGCUGAACUUAAGCAUAUCAAUAAGCGGAGGA